Molecule: ribosomal RNA, 443 nt
Filed under: uncultured bacterium
Lineage: Bacteria
Description: bacterial SSU rRNA
Rfam family: Bacterial small subunit ribosomal RNA
Source: RNAcentral
CCUACGGGUGGCUGCAGUGGGGAAUUUUCCGCAAUGGGCGAAAGCCUGACGGAGCAAUACCGCGUGAGGGAUGACGGCCUAUGGGUUGUAAACCUCUUUUUUCAGGGAGGAAAAAAAUGACGUUACCUGAAGAAUAAGCAUCGGCUAACUCCGUGCCAGCAGCCGCGGUAAGACGGGGGAUGCAAGUGUUAUCCGGAAUCACUGGGCGUAAAGCGUCUGUAGGUGGUUUAAUAAGUCAACUGUUAAAUCUUGAGGCUCAACCUCAAAACCGCAGUCGAAACUAUUAGACUAGAGUAUAGUAGGGGUAAAGGGAAUUUCCAGUGGAGCGGUGAAAUGCGUAGAGAUUGGAAAGAACACCGAUGGCGAAGGCACUUUACUGGGCUAUUACUAACACUGAGAGACGAAAGCUAGGGUAGCAAAUGGGAUUAGAUACCCGAGUAGUC